AGAGUUUGAUCCUGGCUCAGAUUGAACGCUGGCGGCAUGCCUUACACAUGCAAGUCGAACGGCAGCACGGGAGCAAUCCUGGUGGCGAGUGGCGAACGGGUGAGUAAUAUAUCGGAACGUGCCCAGUCGUGGGGGAUAACGUAGCGAAAGCUACGCUAAUACCGCAUACGAUCUAUGGAUGAAAGCGGGGGAUCGCAAGACCUCGCGCGAUUGGAGCGGCCGAUAUCAGAUUAGCUAGUUGGUGGGGUAAAGGCCCACCAAGGCGACGAUCUGUAGCUGGUCUGAGAGGACGACCAGCCACACUGGAACUGAGACACGGUCCAGACUCCUACGGGAGGCAGCAGUGGGGAAUUUUGGACAAUGGGCGCAAGCCUGAUCCAGCAAUGCCGCGUGCAGGACGAAGGCC
This 406-nucleotide ribosomal RNA is filed under the name uncultured bacterium. RNAcentral's name for it is "bacterial SSU rRNA". It matches the Rfam family "Bacterial small subunit ribosomal RNA", at positions 8 to 416 of the family's 1533-position model. The record is from RNAcentral.